This 233-nucleotide ribosomal RNA is filed under the name uncultured bacterium. RNAcentral's name for it is "partial 16S ribosomal RNA". It matches the Rfam family "Bacterial small subunit ribosomal RNA", at positions 118 to 347 of the family's 1533-position model. The record is from RNAcentral.
UGAGUAACCUGCCCUUAACUCUGGGAUAAGCCUGGGAAACUGGGUCUAAUACCGGAUAUGACUCCUCAUCGCAUGGUGGGGGGUGGAAAGCUUUAUUGUGGUUUUGGAUGGACUCGCGGCCUAUCAGCUUGUUGGUGAGGUAAUGGCUCACCAAGGCAACGAUGCGUAGCCGACCUGAGAGGGUGAUCGGCCACACUGGGACUGAGACACGGCCCAGACUCCUACGGGAGCAG